UUGUGUGUUUUUUUCUCUGUCUCGCUAUGACAGAGAAAUGUAUAUGCUCAAUAUUGCUGUUUAAACUGAUGCUCAAAUUUCCAAGCACCACCUGAACGCCUCAUCGGUCUUUAACUACUCACUGCACCAACUGUCGUCAUUCCGCUUUGCUCUCUGCUGUGGAACUUGACUGACAUCUGUGCUUUGCCUGUGUGCAGAAGAAGAACAAGGACCAGAUCUCCAGUCUUCUCUCUCACAUCCCAACCCCCCAACCCCUCUAUCCUCUGUACUGCUCCACCUGUUGUCUCUGCCUUCUUUCCAUCUGUAUUUCACCCUGUGGUUUGUGAGAAAUUUUGCCAAACCAAGAA
Molecule: long non-coding RNA, 347 nt
Organism: Oreochromis aureus
Lineage: Eukaryota; Metazoa; Chordata; Actinopteri; Cichliformes; Cichlidae
Exons: 3
Source: RefSeq, a predicted model, not a curated record